UAGCUCAAUGGUAGAGCGCGUGCCUAGCAAGCGCAAGGCCCUGGGUUCGGUCCCCAG
RNAcentral lists this transfer RNA (57 nucleotides) under Rattus norvegicus (Norway rat). It matches the Rfam family "tRNA", at positions 8 to 63 of the family's 71-position model. Rfam says of the family: Transfer RNA (tRNA) molecules are approximately 80 nucleotides in length. Lineage: Eukaryota; Metazoa; Chordata; Mammalia; Rodentia; Muridae. The record is from Rfam by way of RNAcentral.